This 334-nucleotide ribosomal RNA is filed under the name uncultured eukaryote. Its description in RNAcentral is "partial 18S ribosomal RNA". It matches the Rfam family "Eukaryotic small subunit ribosomal RNA", at positions 1470 to 1796 of the family's 1831-position model. The record is from RNAcentral.
CCCUUAGAUGUCCGGGGCCGCACGCGCGCUACACUGAAGGAAUCAGCGUGGCUUUCUCCCUGACCCGAAAGGGUUGGGAAACCCGUUGAAUCUCCUUCGUGAUAGGGAUUGGGGCUUGAAAUUGUUCCCCAUGAACGAGGAAUUCCAAGUAAGCGCGAGUCAUAAGCUCGCGUUGAUUACGUCCCUGCCCUUUGUACACACCGCCCGUCGCUACUACCGAUUGAACGGUUUAGUGAGGGCCUCGGAUUGGUCUCGGCCCGCUCUUUACCGGGCGGCGCCGUUGGUCGAGAAGACGCUCGAACUUGAUCGUUUAGAGGAAGUAAAAGUCGUAACA